Molecule: long non-coding RNA, 1316 nt
Organism: Hevea brasiliensis (rubber tree)
Lineage: Eukaryota; Viridiplantae; Streptophyta; Magnoliopsida; Malpighiales; Euphorbiaceae
Exons: 2
Source: RefSeq, a predicted model, not a curated record
UCAAAUUAUUCCUCAUUUGUUCUUAAGAAUACUUGGUUUCAUAGAAGACAUUUAAGUUGAAUCAUGCAAGGCAAACUAUUCAGUUCUGCCAUCACUUGUUUUCUUCUUCCUUUUUCUGUUUCCCGUUUCUCCUGAAAGCCCAAAUUUUUUGUGUACCAUCUCAGUCCUUGCUUUUCAAGGGAGUUCUUUGUCAUCUGAAAGUACAAGUUGCCUAAUGGAUGCAAAUUCUGCAAAAUGGUUUUUAGAUUAUAUUUGUGAACUGUCUUUGAGCAUUUUAGAUCAUGAGCGAAACUUCAGGUACACCACUGCUUUGUAUAUUGAGAAGUGAAGAAAGAUUCCUUCUCUUCCUCUUAUCUAUGUGUCUUUUGGAAGCACAAAUGGUUAUGCAUUCCCAAUAUAUAUAUAUAUUUUUAUUAGUAGGAAACUGGUUCCAUUUUAAAUUGUAUGAGAGCUGAAAAUUCUAUGCAGGUUUGCUCAUUUUAUUAAUGUAUACACUAUUUUUGUCUCCAACAUCUCAGUGUCAUUUGAAUUUUGAUAGACUUUCAAUGUGUCUUCUUUGAUGUAUUGCACCAUUCCCUUUAGUCAAUCACUGUUGUAAAGUUUCCUUCUGAUCUGAUGCUGAUGAUAUAUGUAGAUUUCAAGUGGAAAAAUUUCAAGAUGUCCUUUGUGCAAGGGUAGUUUUGUAAGCAUCACUAAAGUGGAGGAUGCAGCAACCUCUGAUCAGAAAAUUUACUGUCAGACUAUUCCUUGUGCCUCCUCAACAACAGAUAUUUUCUUAUUAAAUGAUCAAGAAAGAUGCAGAUUCGGUGCUGAGUCUUCAUUAGCAUCAGUUUGUGGUGAAUGCUGUUACCGGGAACCUGAGGAUCUUCUAGUUAGCUGUCAUUUCUGCCAGAUUCGAUAUAUUCAUAUAUACUGCCUGGACCCUCCUCUGUUACCAUGGAACUGCAGUCACUCUAAGGAUCUCCAAAGGCUUUAUUAUCAAGCCAGAGGAUUUGUUUUGCAGGAAUUCAUCGCUUACACUGCAAGAAUAUUCAUUUCUUAAUCUUAUACAUGUAGCAUUUUAGCUUCAGUGCUCCUCAUGCAGCUUUAAUCCGAAUAAAAUCACUGAAUAAACGGUUCUGCUUCUCUUUGCUUUAACAGUCAUUGCUAGUACCAGCUGUUGAAACUGCUCAUAGCUGUUAAACCAACAUUUGACUCAUUAACUCUUAGUGCCUACCCUUUUUUGUGACUAAGGCAGUCAUUUAGAUGUUCUAUAUUAUUCCUAUUGUUGUCUUCAAAAUGUCACUUUGCUUGUUUAUGACAUUAUUCUUUUCCUC